UCUCCGUUAGUAUAUCGGUUAGUACACGCGCCUGUCACUCUGCGGUGCGCGCGAAAGCGGGGUUCGACUCCCCGACAGAGAG
Molecule: transfer RNA, 82 nt
Filed under: Trametes pubescens
Lineage: Eukaryota; Fungi; Basidiomycota; Agaricomycetes; Polyporales; Polyporaceae
Description: tRNA-Asp
Rfam family: tRNA
About the family: Transfer RNA (tRNA) molecules are approximately 80 nucleotides in length.
Source: RNAcentral